GACGAACGCUGGCGGCGUGCCUAAUACAUGCAAGUAGAACGCUGAAGGAGGAGCUUGCUUCUCUGGAUGAGUUGCGAACGGGUGAGUAACGCGUAGGUAACCUGCCUGGUAGCGGGGGAUAACUAUUGGAAACGAUAGCUAAUACCGCAUAAUAGUAGAUGUUGCAUGACAUUUGCUUAAAAGGUGCAAUUGCAUCACUACCAGAUGGACCUGCGUUGUAUUAGCUAGUUGGUGGGGUAACGGCUCACCAAGGCGACGAUACAUAGCCGACCUGAGAGGGUGAUCGGCCACACUGGGACUGAGACACGGCCCAGACUCCUACGGGAGGCAGCAGUAGGGAAUCUUCGGCAAUGGACGGAAGUCUGACCGAGCAACGCCGCGUGAGUGAAGAAGGGUUUCGGAUCGGAAAGCUCUGUUGUAAGAGAAGAACGAGUGUGAGAGUGGAAAGUUCACACUGUGACGGUAGCUUACCAGAAAGGGACGGCUAACUACGUG
RNAcentral lists this ribosomal RNA (495 nucleotides) under uncultured bacterium. Its description in RNAcentral is "partial 16S ribosomal RNA". It matches the Rfam family "Bacterial small subunit ribosomal RNA", at positions 28 to 507 of the family's 1533-position model. The record is from RNAcentral.